Molecule: non-coding RNA, 30 nt
Filed under: Rattus norvegicus (Norway rat)
Lineage: Eukaryota; Metazoa; Chordata; Mammalia; Rodentia; Muridae
Source: RNAcentral
UUCAAAGCCUACUACGAGAGUGACAAGAUU